GAUGAACGCUGACAGAAUGCCUAACACAUGCAAGUCGAUUCAAGAAACCUGCGGGUAAUGAGGAUGGCGGACGGGUGAGUAACGCGUAAGGAGCUUGCCUCUUAGACUGGGCAAACUGCUGGAAAUGACUGCUAAUACCGGAUCUUAUGAGUUUCUCGUAUGAGAAACUUAUGAAAGCUAUAUGCGCCAAGAGAGAGCCUUGCGUUCCAUUAGCUAGUUGGUGGGGUAACGGCCCACCAAGGCGACGAUGGAUAGCCGGCCUGAGAGGGUGAACGGCCACAAGGGGACUGAGACACGGCCCUUACUCCUACGGGAGGCAGCAGUGGGGAAUAUUGGACAAUGGGCCACAAGCCUGAUCCAGCAAUUCUGUGUGCACGAUGAAGGUCUUCGGAUUGUAAAGUGCUUUCAGUUGGGAAGAAGAAAGUGACGGUACCAACAGAAGAAGCGACGGCUAAAUACGUGCCAGCAGCCGCGGUAA
RNAcentral lists this ribosomal RNA (478 nucleotides) under uncultured bacterium. RNAcentral's name for it is "partial 16S ribosomal RNA". It matches the Rfam family "Bacterial small subunit ribosomal RNA", at positions 28 to 523 of the family's 1533-position model. The record is from RNAcentral.